Molecule: ribosomal RNA, 253 nt
Filed under: uncultured bacterium
Lineage: Bacteria
Description: partial 16S ribosomal RNA
Rfam family: Bacterial small subunit ribosomal RNA
Source: RNAcentral
UACGUAGGGGGCAAGCGUUGUCCGGAAUCAUUGGGCGUAAAGAGCGUGUAGGCGGCUCGGUAAGUCCGCUGUGAAAGUCCAGGGCUCAACCCUGGAAUGCCGGUGGAAACUGUCGAGUUAGAGUCCGGAAGAGGCGAGUGGAAUUCCGCGUGUAGCAGUGAAAUGCGUAGAGAUGCGGAGGAACACCGAUGGCGAAGGCAGCCCCCUGGGCUGACACUGACGCUCAGGCACGAAAGCGUGGGGAGCAAACAGG